GAACGCUGGCGGCGUGCUUAACACAUGCAAGUCGAACGGAAAGGCCCUGCUUUUGUGGGGUGCUCGAGUGGCGAACGGGUGAGUAACACGUGAGUAACCUGCCCUUGACUUUGGGAUAACUUCAGGAAACUGGGGCUAAUACCGGAUAGGAGCUCCUGCUGCAUGGUGGGGGUUGGAAAGUUUCGGCGGUUGGGGAUGGACUCGCGGCUUAUCAGCUUGUUGGUGGGGUAGUGGCUUACCAAGGCUUUGACGGGUAGCCGGCCUGAGAGGGUGACCGGCCACAUUGGGACUGAGAUACGGCCCAGACUCCUACGGGAGGCAGCAGUGGGGAAUAUUGCACAAUGGGCGGAAGCCUGAUGCAGCAACGCCGCGUGCGGGAUGACGGCCUUCGGGUUGUAAACCGCUUUCGCCUGUGACGAAGCGUGAGUGACGGUAAUGGGUAAAGAAGCACCGGCUAACUACGUGCCAGCAGCCGCGGUGAUACGUAGGGUGCGAGCGUUGUCCGGAUUUAUUGGGCGUAAAGGGCUCGUAGGUGGUUGAUCGCGUCGGAAGUGUAAUCUUGGGGCUUAACCCUGAGCGUGCUUUCGAUACGGGUUGACUUGAGGAAGGUAGGGGAGAAUGGAAUUCCUGGUGGAGCGGUGGAAUGCGCAGAUAUCAGGAGGAACACCAGUG
RNAcentral lists this ribosomal RNA (672 nucleotides) under uncultured organism. Its description in RNAcentral is "SSU rRNA". It matches the Rfam family "Bacterial small subunit ribosomal RNA", at positions 31 to 714 of the family's 1533-position model. The record is from RNAcentral.